GCUGGGUGUGGUGGCAUGCACUUGUAGACCCAACUACUGGGAGGCUGGGGCAGGGGCAUCCCUAGAGCUCAGGAGUUCAAGGUCAGACUGGGCAACACAGCCAGACCCCCAU
RNAcentral lists this small RNA (112 nucleotides) under Marmota monax (woodchuck). The record is from RNAcentral. Lineage: Eukaryota; Metazoa; Chordata; Mammalia; Rodentia; Sciuridae.